UACAGAGACCUCAAGCGUUAUCCGGAAUCAUUGGGCGUAAAGCGUACCGAUAGGUGGUUUUACAAGUCAGAAGUGAAAUCUCAAGGCUCAACCUUGAGACUGUCUUUUGAAACUGUAAAACUAGAGGGGCAAAGAGGAAGCUGGAACGAACGGUGUAGUAGUGAAAUGCGUUGAUAUCGUUCGGAACACCAAUAGCGUAGGCAGGCUUCUGGGUGCCACCUGACACUGCUAGGACGAAAGCGUGGGGAGCGAACGGG
Molecule: ribosomal RNA, 257 nt
Filed under: uncultured bacterium
Lineage: Bacteria
Description: partial 16S ribosomal RNA
Rfam family: Bacterial small subunit ribosomal RNA
Source: RNAcentral